GAUGAACGCUGGCGGCGUGCCUAAUACAUGCAAGUCGAGCGAACGGACGAGAAGCUUGCUUCUCUGAUGUUAGCGGCGGACGGGUGAGUAACACGUGGAUAACCUACCUAUAAGACUGGGAUAACUUCGGGAAACCGGAGCUAAUACCGGAUAAUAUUUUGAACCGCAUGGUUCAAAAGUGAAAGACGGUCUUGCUGUCACUUAUAGAUGGAUCCGCGCUGCAUUAGCUAGUUGGUAAGGUAACGGCUUACCAAGGCAACGAUGCAUAGCCGACCUGAGAGGGUGAUCGGCCACACUGGAGCUGAGACGCGGUCCAGACUCCUACGGGAGGCAGCAGUAGGGAAUCUUACGCAAUGGGCGAAAGCCUGACGGAGCAACGGCGCGUGAGUGAUGAAGGUCUUCGGAUCGUAAAACUCUGUUAUUAGGGAAGAACAUAUGUGUAAGUAACUGUGCACAUCCUGACGGUACCUAAUCAGAAAGCCACGGCUAACUACGUG
Molecule: ribosomal RNA, 497 nt
Filed under: uncultured bacterium
Lineage: Bacteria
Description: partial 16S ribosomal RNA
Rfam family: Bacterial small subunit ribosomal RNA
Source: RNAcentral